CAAAGAGUAAAACCUAAUUAUAUUGUUCUAUUAUGCCCCGGGAGCGUAAAUUUGGAACGAAUCGAUGUCAACGUUCACAAGAACCAAAACCGGAACAAUAUUAGACUACUCAGUUGCGCCCUAACAGUAUAACUUUGCAACGAGUACAUUUUCUCAUUCUAUCGAACAAAGAGUUAAAAUCAAAUUAUAUUGUUCUAUUAUGCCCCGAGAGUUGUAAUUUCGAGCGAAUCGAUGUCAACGUUCACAAGAACCAAAACUGGAACAAUAUUAGGCUACUCAGUUGCGCCCUAACAGUAUAACUUUGUAAUGAGUAUUUUUUUUCAUUCUAUCGAACAAAGAAUAAAACCUAAUUAUAUUGUUCUAUUAUGCCUCGAGAGUGUAAAUUUGGAACAAAUCGAUGUCAACCUUCACAAGAACCAUAACCGGAACAACAUUAGACUACUCAGUUGCGCCCAAACAGUAUAACUUUGCAACGAGUACUUUUUCUUAUUCUAUCGAACAAAGAGUAAAACCUAAUUAUAUUGUUCUAUUAUGUCCCGAGAGUGUAAAUUUGGAUCGAAUCGAUGUCAACCUUCACAAGAACCAAAACCGGAACAACA
This 599-nucleotide long non-coding RNA is filed under the name Ananas comosus (pineapple). RNAcentral describes it as "long non-coding RNA (ACOM_LNC022322)". The record is from RNAcentral. Lineage: Eukaryota; Viridiplantae; Streptophyta; Magnoliopsida; Poales; Bromeliaceae.